This 1129-nucleotide ribosomal RNA is filed under the name Nonomuraea maheshkhaliensis. Its description in RNAcentral is "bacterial SSU rRNA". It matches the Rfam family "Bacterial small subunit ribosomal RNA", at positions 52 to 1214 of the family's 1533-position model. The record is from RNAcentral. Lineage: Bacteria; Bacillati; Actinomycetota; Actinomycetes; Streptosporangiales; Streptosporangiaceae.
UACCAUGCAAGUCGAGCGGAAGGCCCUUCGGGGUACUCGAGCGGCGAACGGGUGAGUAACACGUGAGCAACCUGCCCCUGACUCUGGGAUAAGCCCGGGAAACUGGGUCUAAUACCGGAUAUGACCGCCCCUGGCAUCGGGUGGUGGUGGAAAGUUUUUCGGUUGGGGAUGGGCUCGCGGCCUAUCAGCUUGUUGGUGGGGUAGUGGCCUACCAAGGCGACGACGGGUAGCCGGCCUGAGAGGGCGACCGGCCACACUGGGACUGAGACACGGCCCAGACUCCUACGGGAGGCAGCAGUGGGGAAUAUUGCGCAAUGGGCGGAAGCCUGACGCAGCGACGCCGCGUGGGGGAUGACGGCCUUCGGGUUGUAAACCUCUUUCAGCAGGGACGAAGUUGACGUGUACCUGCAGAAGAAGCGCCGGCUAACUACGUGCCAGCAGCCGCGGUAAUACGUAGGGCGCAAGCGUUGUCCGGAAUUAUUGGGCGUAAAGAGCUCGUAGGUGGCUGGUCGCGUCUGCCGUGAAAGCCCGCAGCUUAACUGCGGGUCUGCGGUGGAUACGGGCCGGCUAGAGGUAGGUAGGGGCAAGUGGAAUUCCUGGUGUAGCGGUGAAAUGCGCAGAUAUCAGGAGGAACACCGGUGGCGAAGGCGGCUUGCUGGGCCUUACCUGACGCUGAGGAGCGAAAGCGUGGGGAGCGAACAGGAUUAGAUACCCUGGUAGUCCACGCUGUAAACGUUGGGCGCUAGGUGUGGGACCCUUCCACGGGUUCCGUGCCGGAGCUAACGCAUUAAGCGCCCCGCCUGGGGAGUACGGCCGCAAGGCUAAAACUCAAAGGAAUUGACGGGGGGCCCGCACAAGCGGCGGAGCAUGUUGCUUAAUUCGACGCAACGCGAAGAACCCUUACCAAGGGUUUGACAUCACCCGGGACAGGUCUAGAGAUAGAUCCUUUCUUCGGACUGGGUGACAGGUGGUGCAUGGCUGUCGUCAGCUCGUGUCGUGAGAUGGUGGAUAGUCCCGCAACGAGCGCACCGUGCUCAAUGGUGCAGCACACAUUGUGUUGGGGACUCAUGAGAACUGCCGGAUCACUCGGAGGAUGUAGAUGACGUCAGUCAUCAUGCCUUAGUCCUGC